CACCGGAUGUGCUCUCCGGUCUGAUGAGUCCGUGAGGACGAAACAAGCUGACCCUGAAGUUCACUACGCCGGCCAUUCAAACAUGAGGAUUACCCAUGU
RNAcentral lists this unclassified non-coding RNA (99 nucleotides) under synthetic construct. The stretch from base 64 to 99 matches the Rfam family "Bacteriophage MS2 operator hairpin". The record is from RNAcentral.